CUGCAUUUGUUUUCAGGCCUUGAGAGAUUACAUAAUGAAAAUAAACAGGUCCAGAGCAGGAGAAGCUUUCAAUAUUUGAGUUCCUGAUUGUCUCACUUAAGUCUGUGAAGACUCAACAGGAGUCUGGGAAUUUCCAUGGUAGAUUAUCUGUAUUGUGGGCCCAGGUAAAGCCACAACAAGGAGACAUGCUGAAUUACUGAAACAGAAAGAUCCAAAACAGCCGGGAGUGGAUCUAAGUACUUCCAGAGCUCUGAGUGGAAGGGUAUGUUUGGCUCCAAUGAAUCAGAUUCCUCCUCCAAUAGUUUGUCUCCAAAAGCCCGGAUGUCAACCCUAUACAGAAGACUGACGAGAGUCUAGAGAGGAAGCUAAACACUUCACAGACCCUGAGUCAGGCAUCAUCUUCAUCAUCGGGAAGCUUUGUAAUGAUGUCAUAGAGUCAGGGGUCAUCUGAGGGGUCAGUCACAGAGUCAGGGGUCAUCUGAGGGGUCAGUCACAGAGUCAGGUGUCAUCUUAGGGGUCAGUUAGGUCCCUGAC
Molecule: long non-coding RNA, 534 nt
Organism: Saccostrea cuccullata (small rock oyster)
Lineage: Eukaryota; Metazoa; Mollusca; Bivalvia; Ostreida; Ostreidae
Exons: 3
Source: RefSeq, a predicted model, not a curated record